This 274-nucleotide ribosomal RNA is filed under the name uncultured bacterium. RNAcentral's name for it is "partial 16S ribosomal RNA". It matches the Rfam family "Bacterial small subunit ribosomal RNA", at positions 523 to 796 of the family's 1533-position model. The record is from RNAcentral.
AUACGGAGGGUGCAAGCGUUAAUCGGAAUUACUGGGCGUAAAGGGCACGCAGGUGGCUGAGUGAGUCGGAUGUGAAAGCCCCGGGCUCAACCGGGGAACUGCAUUCGAUACUGGCAGGCUAGAGUAUAGUAGAGGAAAGUGGAAUUCCGGGUGUAGCGGUGAAAUGCGUAGAUAUCCGGAGGAACAUCAGUGGCGAAGGCGACUUGCUGGACUAAUACUGACGCUGAGGAGCGAAAGCGUGGGGAGCAAACGGGAUUAGAAACCCCAGUAGUCC